This 253-nucleotide ribosomal RNA is filed under the name uncultured bacterium. Its description in RNAcentral is "partial 16S ribosomal RNA". It matches the Rfam family "Bacterial small subunit ribosomal RNA", at positions 524 to 776 of the family's 1533-position model. The record is from RNAcentral.
UACGUAGGGGGCGAGCGUUGUCCGGAGUUAUUGGGCGUAAAGAGCUCGUAGGCGGUCUGUUGCGUCUGCUGUGAAAACUCGGGGCUUAACCCCGAGCCUGCAGUGGAUACGGGCAGACUAGAGGUAGGUAGGGGAGAAUGGAAUUCCCGGUGUAGCGGUGAAAUGCGCAGAUAUCGGGAGGAACACCGGUGGCGAAGGCGGUUCUCUGGGCCUUACCUGACGCUGAGGAGCGAAAGCGUGGGGAGCGAACAGG